Molecule: long non-coding RNA, 2074 nt
Organism: Syzygium oleosum
Lineage: Eukaryota; Viridiplantae; Streptophyta; Magnoliopsida; Myrtales; Myrtaceae
Exons: 2
Source: RefSeq, a predicted model, not a curated record
CUUUAGGUACAGGCGAAAUGAUGGAAUUCGUUCUCGGCGCUUGGCUUCCGGCGCCCCCGGAAGAACAGAAAGUCUUGUGCAGAAGGAAGGAAGGAACCGUUCGGAAAAUUGAGCGAGACCCACAGGAGAUCUUAAUGGGAUCUACGUAUUGUAAAUGGCGCGAAUGCGUAUUGGUAAACGUACUAGAUUAGCUGAAGUUAUCGCUCGGAUUCGUGUCGCUAAUGGAACUGAAAAAGAUGGACAGAGAAUGAGAACAAGCCAUGCACUUCCUUUUUAGCCGUUCGUAUGUUUUCCAUCCCGUCCCCCUGAUUGAAGCGCCGCCACACGAUACACCGCGAGGCGAUUGAAGAUCAUAUAUUGAAGAGAGAGACAGAGAGAGAAAGGGAGAGAGUGCUCUGGUAGCUAAAUGUAAAGAAUUAUUGCUUCCAAAACUAUGGUAAACCUUUAAAUAAAGAAGUACAAUGUGGCUAGAGCUGAGUACCUCAGUACAUGAGGGCAUAGUACAGGCAUACAAGGGAAGUACGCUAAUGUGAAGUAGCCGGUGAACGUACCGCAUAUGCAUGCAUGGCGAAGAAUGGACGACGAGGACUUUGAACAGGACUCGGAGACUUCAGCUAACAGCCAAACCCAGCACCCACAUGCACACUACUUUUCACUUGGUUUUAGAUAGGAGAAUAACUUAGGGGAGUGGCUUGGCUUACUAUACUUUCAACCAUCCCAUUUUGCACCAGAGGAAGAUUAGGCUGCUGCAACCACCUCUCAAACGUUCUGGUUUUGUUCCAACGGCAGAUGAGAGAUCCACGCUUAUAAAUGCCGAAGAGGCCCAUGUACAAAUCAUUCUCGUCGUCGGCACCGUGAUGUCUUCUCGUUUGCUUUUCAUGGUGGUGCCGUUCUCGUCCCUUCUUCCGGUGGAAGGCCUCUUGCUCAAAUGAGUAUUCCAUUUUAUCAUGACAUGGCGGUGUUUCCCUAACGUCGUCGGAAAUCAAAAAUGGGAUGCUCAUUAGGGCACGAUGCUUUGCAUGGGAAGCCUCGCUUCGGCCAUCAAGUCGCGACGUCCGCUUGUCGAGGACUUGAGGAGGUGAUCUGCCCUUGAACUUGUCGAGCAUUGUCUGCAAAACAGUUGUAUAUUUGCUGUGUGUUCGUGUGUGCACGUGACUUUCAUCCAUCUCAAACUUCAACUGUUCAUCAUCUGCUUUUCCCCAUCCCGUCUCUCUGAUUCAUGGGAAAUUUCACCGACCGCUCACUGUUUUUCCACCAUUUCUUCUUCAAUAACAAUGAUUUUUUUAAACUAGUCUACAAGAAGAGAAUCUUGGCUUCCAUCAUGCUAAAAAAUUGAAGACAUCACCUACUUUGGCAAGUCCUGACUACUCUUUGACUGUACGUGCGCAAUAAACAAUCGAUUUCUUUGAUCUUUUUCUCUAGUUAUUUUUAUGAUGUUGCUGCAAAUUCGAUUCCAAAUACUGGGUAACGGAUUCGGCGAUCAUACAGCCGAAAUGGCAAAAAAAUCAUAAAUCGGAGAAACGCAUAUGAGAUCAUGUAGCCCUUUUAUUUGCACUCCCUGGUAUGGGGUUGUGCUGAGAUGUAGUCCACUUGCAUCGCAUUUGUUUUGAACAACGAAAUGAAGCUUAUAUAUCGACAAACAUGAAAAAAAAAAUUAUGUGGGUCUAUCAUAUCUUGCACACAUAUUACACGAUUGACGAAGUGGAACUAAUCAACCGCAAUGUCAGCUUGAUAUGCAUUCCAACUAACUAUGCAUCUGAAUUUUAACUAAAAGCUCCCACCUGUAAUGAUUUGCUUGUUUCUUCACAUGUGCUAUUGUGACGGACCGGAGGUUUCAAGACCCGAGCGACAGAAGAGAUGGUCGAAAUGAUCGGCAAGACUUGAAGUGUCUUGGGCUCCAAGAUAGCAAUCUUGAAUUUAACAGAGUAGACGGUAGUUGAGGAGAGUGGAUCUCCACCGUUUGAUCAAGGGAUGAUCAACAGUAGUAAGUGGAAGGCCUCAUGUAUAAAUAGGAAUGUUCUACCCCUCAUUUAUAUCAUCCAACCUUGAAUAAUACAAGUUAUUCUCUCACAAA